UGGGGAAUUUUGGACAAUGGGCGCAAGCCUGAUCCAGCCAUGCCGCGUGCGGGAAGAAGGCCUUCGGGUUGUAAACCGCUUUUGUCAGGGAAGAAAAGGUUCUGGCUAAUACCUGGGACUCAUGACGGUACCUGAAGAAUAAGCACCGGCUAACUACGUGCCAGCAGCCGCGGUAAUACGUAGGGUGCAAGCGUUAAUCGGAAUUACUGGGCGUAAAGCGUGCGCAGGCGGUUAUGCAAGACAGAGGUGAAAUCCCCGGGCUCAACCUGGGAACUGCCUUUGUGACUGCAUGGCUAGAGUACGGUAGAGGGGGAUGGAAUUCCGCGUGUAGCAGUGAAAUGCGUAGAUAUGCGGAGGAACACCGAUGGCGAAGGCAAUCCCCUGGACCUGUACUGACGCUCAUGCACGAAAGCGUGGGGAGCAAACAGG
Molecule: ribosomal RNA, 429 nt
Filed under: Bacillota bacterium
Lineage: Bacteria; Bacillati; Bacillota
Also listed under: 4 other names
Description: Firmicutes bacterium partial 16S ribosomal RNA
Rfam family: Bacterial small subunit ribosomal RNA
Source: RNAcentral